Molecule: ribosomal RNA, 497 nt
Filed under: uncultured bacterium
Lineage: Bacteria
Description: partial 16S ribosomal RNA
Rfam family: Bacterial small subunit ribosomal RNA
Source: RNAcentral
GACGAACGCUGGCGGCGUGCCUAAUACAUGCAAGUUGAGCGCUGAAGGUUGGUACUUGUACCAACUGGAUGAGCAGCGAACGGGUGAGUAACGCGUGGGGAAUCUGCCUUUGAGCGGGGGACAACAUUUGGAAACGAAUGCUAAUACCGCAUAAAAACUUUAAACACAAGUUUUAAGUUUGAAAGAUGCAAUUGCAUCACUCAAAGAUGAUCCCGUGUUGUAUUAGCUAGUUGGUGAGGUAAAGGCUCACCAAGGCGAUGAUACAUAGCCGACCUGAGAGGGUGAUCGGCCACAUUGGGACUGAGACACGGCCCAAACUCCUACGGGAGGCAGCAGUAGGGAAUCUUCGGCAAUGGACGAAAGUCUGACCGAGCAACGCCGCGUGAGUGAAGAAGGUUUUCGGAUCGUAAAACUCUGUUGGUAGAGAAGAACGUUGGCGAGAGUGGAAAGCUCAUCAAGUGACGGUAACUACCCAGAAAGGGACGGCUAACUACGUG